UGGGGAAUAUUGGACAAUGGGCGCAAGCCUGAUCCAGCCAUGCCGCGUGAGUGAUGAAGGCCCUAGGGUUGUAAAGCUCUUUCACCGGUGAAGAUAAUGACGGUAACCGGAGAAGAAGCCCCGGCUAACUUCGUGCCAGCAGCCGCGGUAAUACGAAGGGGGCUAGCGUUGUUCGGAUUUACUGGGCGUAAAGCGCACGUAGGCGGACUAUUAAGUCAGGGGUGAAAUCCCGGGGCUCAACCCCGGAACUGCCUUUGAUACUGGUAGUCUUGAGGUCGAGAGAGGUGAGUGGAAUUCCGAGUGUAGAGGUGAAAUUCGUAGAUAUUCGGAGGAACACCAGUGGCGAAGGCGGCUCACUGGCUCGAUACUGACGCUGAGGUGCGAAAGCGUGGGGAGCAAACAGG
This 404-nucleotide ribosomal RNA is filed under the name Actinomycetes bacterium. RNAcentral describes it as "Actinobacteria bacterium partial 16S ribosomal RNA". It matches the Rfam family "Bacterial small subunit ribosomal RNA", at positions 355 to 776 of the family's 1533-position model. The record is from RNAcentral. Lineage: Bacteria; Bacillati; Actinomycetota; Actinomycetes.